RNAcentral lists this ribosomal RNA (253 nucleotides) under uncultured bacterium. RNAcentral's name for it is "partial 16S ribosomal RNA". It matches the Rfam family "Bacterial small subunit ribosomal RNA", at positions 524 to 776 of the family's 1533-position model. The record is from RNAcentral.
UACGGGGGGUGCAAGCGUUAUUCGGAAUCAUUGGGCGUAAAGAGCGCGUAGGUGGCCAGUUAAGUCAGAUGUGAAAUCCCGGGGCUCAACCCCGGAAGUGCAUUUGAAACUAAUUGGCUUGAGUAUGGGAGAGGGAAGUGGAAUUCCUGGUGUAGCGGUGAAAUGCGUAGAUAUCAGGAGGAACACCGGUGGCGAAGGCGACUUCCUGGACCAAUACUGACGCUGAGGCGCGAAGGCGUGGGGAGCAAACAGG